Molecule: long non-coding RNA, 210 nt
Organism: Alosa sapidissima (American shad)
Lineage: Eukaryota; Metazoa; Chordata; Actinopteri; Clupeiformes; Clupeidae
Exons: 3
Source: RefSeq, a predicted model, not a curated record
GCUAUUAGCAAACUCGGCUAUGCUGUCAGCAGCGAAGUCUGCAGAGCUUUAACCCUCUGUCUGCCAACACAGACACAAGACACAAGAUGCAAGAGGUCUCAGUUUCAAGCAUCAGCUGUGAUUCAGGACAUCUCCAAAAGUGAUUCAGGAUGUCCAGUUGUCUACCAGCUGAAACCAAAAAAAGAGGAGAUUGGAACUCUGACAAGGAUG